AAGCAGUGAACUUAAGCCCCAGUAAACGGCGGCCGUAACUAUAACGGUCCUAAGGUAGCGAAAUUCCUUGUCGGGUAAGUUCCGACCCGCACGAAAGGCGUAACGAUUUGGGCACUGUCUCAACAACAGACGCGGUGAAAUUGUAAUUCCGGUGAAGAUGCCGGAUACCUGCGACAGGACGGAAAGACCCCAUGGAGCUUUACUGUAGCUUGACAUUGGGUCUUGGUACUACAUGUACAGGAUAGGUGGGAGGCUUUGA
RNAcentral lists this ribosomal RNA (259 nucleotides) under Clostridioides difficile. RNAcentral describes it as "partial 23S ribosomal RNA". It matches the Rfam family "Bacterial large subunit ribosomal RNA", at positions 1902 to 2160 of the family's 2925-position model. The record is from RNAcentral. Lineage: Bacteria; Bacillati; Bacillota; Clostridia; Peptostreptococcales; Peptostreptococcaceae.